Pseudopipra pipra is the source of this 4848-nucleotide long non-coding RNA. RefSeq lists it as uncharacterized. The transcript has 4 exons. The record is from RefSeq and is a predicted model, not a curated record. Lineage: Eukaryota; Metazoa; Chordata; Aves; Passeriformes; Pipridae.
GGACAAAAUUAGUGUCUGUGUAAAAUCAACCAAGUCAAUCAGUGGAUGUGAGAUGCUGAGAGAGUCCCGCCGCAGGGGCUGGGAAAUGCAAGGAGCCUGCUGGGGGCAGUGAGUGGGAGAAGGAUAACAUCCUUCAGCUGGGUGGGAUGCUGCCACAGCCAAGAUGAGAGAAGGAAAGGCAAGAAAGACUGAAACCUGAUGUUGGAUUUCUUUGCUGAGAGCUGAGGAUCAGCCAGCUAACGAGGCAGUGAGUUCUGAGGGCAGAGGAAGAGCUCAGGACAUGGUUAGUGCUCAUUAGCAGCCAGAGAUGUGAGAGCUGUCAGCAUGGUGGUGCUUUGUGCUGGCCAAGCCUUUGACUGUCCCUGGAAGGAGGGCUCGCCCGCUGAUCCUGGUGGCACAGCUCCUAGCAGCUCCUCAGCCAGAACAGCCACUUUGAAGCUGCAGUGCUAAAGGCUUGAGAAAUUAAUUUUGCCUGUCAGAGAUUCAAAUGUAAGUGUGUGAACUGUAGUUCAGCAAGGUACGAACUCACCUGGCUGCGCUCCAGCUCUGGGAGUGCUACUCACUGCAGGGGAGGGGAGGCCAGCAAGUACCUGCCUGUGUAAGCUGGUAUUGUCUUCCACAUAAAACAUGGCCUUAAUUAAUAGCUAGCAUGAACCUAAGCCACUAUCUCUGUUAUCAAUUUGUGGAUGUGGUUGGAUUGUCUGUCUCCCAGGACAGUAAUAUCCCUUCAUCUUACUGCAAAUUGCUCGCAGCAUCCUUCUAUUACGCAGGCUUAAUGCUUGAAAAAUAGAGAUUUAAUACUCCACCAUAUCAGACUAAGUGAGGUCAAAGCAAUUCAUAUUCACGAUCCCACAAAGCUCCCUGACGGUGUUCCUGUGAGGAAUGUGAUGUGGAGGAUGCAAACUGGCGAGGUCCUGCCCCAGCUCCCGGCUGUCCCACACUGACAGGGACCAGGACAACCACCCAUGGUGGAAGCAUUGGCUCAUCCCUUGGAGGAGAGUGGGUGUGCACUGGGUGCAGUGGGUGGGGAGCUGUGGGGUCCCUGCCAGGCCGUGCCAGCCCCUGACCCUGCAUUGCUGCCGCCCCUUCCUGCAUUCCCUGUUUUGCCGGGUUUUCCUAGAGCAGAACGGCAGCAGCCUGUGCGUUUUGUGUGUGUGAUAGGAUCAGAGAGUGCUGCGGGGAUUCCCAGGGUGCUGGAGGUUCCCUGAUGUGUUUUUAAUGAGCAGGCUGAGCGUAACUUGUGUGCAAGUUUCCUCUGAACUGCUGGUUGUCACCUUGGCUCUGGGCAGAAAGCCUGCAAGUAACACAUCCUGUGUUCACAUGUUUAUUUUUGUCCUGAAACAUGUAUAUUUUGAGAGAAAAUAAUAGCUGGUGUUUGUGUGUUUCCUCCCCAGCAAGAAAAUAUAUAUCUCCAGGGUUGAUGCAUAUAUUGCCAGGAUGCGUUCCUUCUGCAUUUGCUUUUAUGUGUGUGCCAGGAUGUGGAUUUCACCUGCAACUCAUGAGGAAAUAUCUAAGCACAUAAAAUAAAUGGGAAGUUCAGUUUGGAGGGAUUUAUGUGCAGAAAUUAAACAUGGUUUAGGAGAAAUAUCCCUUUGCCCUGCACAAAACUGGUGUAAUGAACAUAAUUCUCCUAGUGUGAGCUGAAUGUCCAGGGGUUCUGCCCUCCCUGACUGCAGUGCAGUCCUGGGCUGGUGCACACCUUAAUGUGAAGCCUCAAGGAUGGGAGAUUCCUGGCCGAAGGCUUGGGAAUGGAAUGUGCUGGAACAAACCAGGUGGGCUCUGAGGUGUGCCAGGACUGGCUGGGACCAUGCAGGUGGUUUGUGGGCAGGGGCUGCUCCCUGGCCCUUGGGCCCAGGGGGGCCAGGCGGGAUACAAACAGUCUCCAAAGAGGGGCCCAGGAGUAGUUGCACAGAGGAGGUGACAGGCUGUUCUGGGAGACAGGAGGGGUUGGUUUGCCUUUUCCCAUUGCUGUCUGUUCAGACUGGUGCAGUCAGGGGCUUCUGUUCAAUCCCAAGGCUGUGACCAUCCACAGGAUGCUGCGUGCUCUGCCAAGGGUCAUUUCCAGAGGUCCCAGACCCUGAGCUGGCUCCAUUGUGGCUCAUCCCCAUCCGCUGGCUCCAGCACUCUUGUGUGAUGCUGGAGGUGGCACUGCAAAGGCUCCAUGCUUCUUUCCUGGCCUUAGGAAGCUCCCUCUUAGGGAGUUUAGACCUUGGAAAUGGGAUCUCUGAUGUGUACCUCUGUUAGUGGGCAACAAAGGGAAGAUUUAUAUCCCUGUGUUCAAGACCUGCAGGAAUUCCAAGAAUCUUUUAAGAGACUAAAGAUGAUCUGUAUCAUAGACUAUGUUUUCCUUGAGUAAAAGCUAUAUACUAUGUAGAAAAACUGUAGUUUGCUUCAACACUGGAAAAGUAGGAUUUUUUGAAACUUGGAGGUAAUGAGACUGGGACAGGGCUGAGGACUGCCAUGAGAAGACGAGACUUGUGCAUUUGUCAGCAAGAACCUGGAGGGGGGAGCAUGGCUAUCUCUGCUCCAGAGGAACACAUCCUGCUGGGAAGCAUCAGUGCUGCCAUGGUGGAGCAGGCUGCCUUCUUCAUGGACCAUGCUGGGCAGCAGCCCUUCCACUGAAAACACUGCUUCUCACAAGAACGGAUUGUUUCCAAGCCUGAGGAAUUCAAAGAGUGAAACUGCUGCUUUAAAAUUAGGUGUCACAGCUCACAGUGAUGGCUACACAAGUGCACUGAUUACAGCAGGAGGGGUGGCUGCAGAGCCGCUGGGGUCCCCUGCUGGGGCCAUCUCCUGGUGACCAUUGGGCUGAUGGAGUCAUGAGUGGAACCUCCACAGUGAAUGAUUCCGGGAAAGGAACUGCCAGGCGAGUGUUGUCCUCGGAGACACAGUGACACGCAGAUGAGCGCUGAGGGGUGGCUAAUUGCUCAGGGCAGGCUGACAUAAUGGAGCAGUUCUGAGAGCACCUCAGCUGCAGAGAUAUGUGCUGGCCCUCUGCUGCUGCCCUCCUGCACAGAUGCUCUCUCUCCUUCAUAGGAGAAAUCUCCCUUCCUUUCUCACCAAGAGGAGUCUGAAGAAUUGAGUGCCCAAAGAAUUUGCAUGGAAUUAUUCAUCCCGCUCAAGAUCUGCAGGACGCUCCUUCCCUCACUGUGCACAGACCAUGCCGGGGGUGGCACAUGCAGAUGGGCAGUGCUGGAGGGCACAAGUGAUUGCAGCAGCUCCUUGCUGCUCCCACACAGACUGUGGAUGCCAUGGGGUUACAGCUGGCCACGUCAGCAGCAGGAACGGAGCUCCGGCGUGUCCCUCUCCAUGGUGCAGGCUGGGCACAGGUGAAGGCAGCAGAAGCCAUCAAUCCUCUUCCUGGCUGACCCUGAGCUGCUGGUGCACAGGCAGGCUGGGCAGCAUCUGUCUGGGACACCUCUGAAGGGGUGAAGGUCAGAGAGUGUCUUGGGUCGUUUUGGUUUGUCUUUAAAAAACAAUUUUCCAUGAGCAGAAAAUGCAAGCCAGUCAGGGAUAGUUGGAUCUUCCUGGUGUGAUUCAUGAGAUACCUCACUGUCAGCCUGUGGAGUGCUCCAACACAGGAGCCAGUGCAAUGUCAGUGUGGGCCCCCCCGGUGCAGCCAUCCUCUCCCCCCACCACGCGAUUCAUGGGCUUUUACAUCUCUGCCAUGAGCCUGUUAAUCCAGCACCUGGCUCCAGCCACACCACCGGGACAAUUUAUGGUUCUUACAGAUCAAUUUCAUUAUCCCAAGGGGAAAAUCAGCAUCUUGUUAUGGACAAAAUGACAAUAAAUGAAACGACCAUUAAUUUACGAUCUUGCCACACAGUGGCACUCAAACAGAUUCCCAUUAAUGGCUUGUUAUUAUCACCUCCCAUACUAGGCUAAUAACAGUUCCUGGGAAAAGCUGCACUGAGCCCUGGGAAGGGGCUGCUGCUGGCUGUGUGGGACCCAGGCCUGUCCUGCAGUGGCAGAGCAGCCCCCAGCUCCACUGCCCUGUCCCACCGAGUCAGGGGGGAUGCAGCAGUCAUCCCUGGCUCUGGGGCCUGGGCACCCACUGGCAUUCUGGAGGGAGAUACUGCUGUUGUUCUCCGUGGGAUUUGGGAUUCAGAGCCUUUUGCAAAGGCACAGAGAAAAGCGAGGUUGGGCUGGUCACAUCCUCUGGGGACAAGGGACCAGGGUUACAUCUGUACAGGGGUGUGCUGGGCAUCAGGGACCCUUCUCCCAUACUCCUCUCCAUCCCCUUGCACUGAGGACAGUACCAGGGACAUCGUCUGCUGACAAGUAGCUCCUUUAGGCAGCAGUUUGAUUUUUGAUGCCCAUUGGUCCCACUCAUGGAAAAUGAAUUUGUGGAUUUUUGCAGACCAAGGUCGGUGGGAUCCCUGCCCGACUGAAGGCCACAGGGUCCCCGCCGUUCCCCGGGGCCAUGUCCUCUGCUGGCCAGCAGGAGGGAGCCGUGGUGCAGUCGUGCCAGUGGAGACUGAAAGACGGGAUGGAUGGAGGCUGCCAGGCAGAGAGGGGAGGAGCUGCCAGCUGACAGAGAGCUGCCCAGAGUGGAGCAAAAAGGUGGUUUUUCUGUUUGCUUGAGGCUCAAAAAACCCAGAAACAUUGGUUUGACAUUAAAUGACUUUUCAAAAACUUCUACAAAGCAGAGAGCUCCAUAAAACACAGAACAAAGGACAGCUUUUCUGUGUGUGGAAGUUCUUAAUUGGUCCAAAAUGAAGAACUUAAUGUCCUUACUGAAUUUUUACUUUUUAAGAACAUUAAAGGUGUCAGGUGGAAAACCACCAAAACUUCUGCUUAAAGCACUGUCCUUUUGAAAAGCCGAAUAAAUUGACAAUGCCAAACUCA